Molecule: long non-coding RNA, 224 nt
Organism: Balaenoptera musculus (blue whale)
Lineage: Eukaryota; Metazoa; Chordata; Mammalia; Artiodactyla; Balaenopteridae
Exons: 3
Source: RefSeq, a predicted model, not a curated record
GCCCGGCAGUGAACCCGCAGGAUCUCCUGUUCGCAGGAGACGAUCAGCUUUUCCUGGAGGAGAGGAGCUGGAGUCACCCCGGAGACCACAGUCCUGUGAGGACGCGCGAGGUGCUGCCUGUCCCCAAGAGUAGGAAACGUGUCACGUGUCACAACAGCACCAGAUGGGCUGGAGCCUCUCGUGGGGCCAGGAAGCGAGAGCGUGUUCAGGAAGCACGGGACUGC